Molecule: long non-coding RNA, 262 nt
Filed under: Elaeis guineensis (African oil palm)
Lineage: Eukaryota; Viridiplantae; Streptophyta; Magnoliopsida; Arecales; Arecaceae
Description: long non-coding RNA (EGUI_LNC035587)
Source: RNAcentral
GGGGAGUUUGAAGUUUGGUGGGAUCGGUUCCUGCAUGAUCAUUUGAGAAAAGGGAGGGUCAGUGCAAAUAUCCUCACCAUAAGCGGGGGGAGCGUGGUGGAGUUCUUCGAUCCAUCGGUUCAUCUCCUGGAGUCUCCGGUCUAGGAAAUCCUCUCGACUUCGGGUCUCGAGGGUCCUCUGACAGAAUGGGGGCAGGGAUCUUCCAGGGGUGGAGUCGUGAUCCGAUUGAGGGCUCUCCACCCUCGGGUUUGUCUUCCCAGGA